UAGUCCAUGCCGUAAACGAUGAUUACUCGGUAUUAGUCUGACUAGUGCCUAAGCGAAAGUGAUAAGUGACCCACCUGGGGAGUACGUUCGCAAGAAUGAAACUCAAAGGAGUUGACGGGGGCCCGCACAAGCGGUGGAGCAUGUGGUUUAAUUCGAUGAUACGCGAGGAACCUUACCAGGGCUUAAAUGUAAGUUGCAUUAGUUAGAGAUAGCUAUUUCUUCGGACUACUUACAAGGUGCUGCAUGGUUGUCGUCAGCUCGUGCCGUGAGGUGUCAGGUUAAGUCCUAUAACGAGCGCAACCCCUGUUGUUAGUUGCCAGCAUGUAAAGAUGGGAACUCUAACAAGACUGCCGGUGCAAACCGCGAGGAAGGUGGGGAUGACGUCAAAUCAUCACGGCCCUUACGUCCUGGGCUACACACGUGCUACAAUGGUAGGGACAGAGAGCAGCCACUUCGUGAGAAGGAGCGAAUCUAUAAACCCUAUCACAGUUCGGAUCGGAGU
This 502-nucleotide ribosomal RNA is filed under the name uncultured bacterium. RNAcentral describes it as "bacterial SSU rRNA". It matches the Rfam family "Bacterial small subunit ribosomal RNA", at positions 791 to 1304 of the family's 1533-position model. The record is from RNAcentral.